UUUGCCGCAAUGGUCCAGGAUCCAAAAGGACUGUUUUUAAGGGAUAACCGAGUUCUUUUCUUGUUGUUUUUUAGCCUCGAAUGGCUGAGCUUUUGGCCAUAAGAGAAGUUCUUUCUUCGCUGAAAUCUAUGAAUUUUGACAGUAUACUUGUUGAGUUCGAUUACAAGGAAGCAGCUCAUGCUUUAACCUCUUCAAAUGUUGAUCGCUCGGAUUUUGCUGUGCAGGUACACAAUUGUUUAAUGCCGAAGUCCUAAUUCGAGAAAUUGUCCUUCCUUCCUUUGGAAACCCCGACAUGCGAUUUAUGCUCUAGCUUAGGCUGCCCUAUUAUAUGCAAAUCAUUUCACUUGGGAUAUCCUCUCUCCUAUUUUAGAUAUUCAUGCUACAAAUGUUGUCCGAAGACUUCGAGGCACUCAGGAACGGGGUAUAGGGUAAGCCUGUCGGCUUCGAGUUUAGUUCUCCCUCGAUCUUGUUGGUUCUUUUGGUGGUCUUUCUGUUCUAUUUUUUUUAAUGAAGUCUUGCAUUUAAAAAUUAAAUAAAUAAGGGUGUGCUUGGAUAUUAGUGCAAAUUGCUUUAAAGUGUAAUUAUGAUGGUAGUAAUUACAUCCUCGAUUCGAAA
Molecule: long non-coding RNA, 615 nt
Filed under: Gossypium barbadense (sea-island cotton)
Lineage: Eukaryota; Viridiplantae; Streptophyta; Magnoliopsida; Malvales; Malvaceae
Description: long non-coding RNA (GBAR_LNC022643)
Source: RNAcentral